RNAcentral lists this transfer RNA (64 nucleotides) under Pholidoptera griseoaptera (dark bush-cricket). RNAcentral's name for it is "tRNA-Cys". Lineage: Eukaryota; Metazoa; Arthropoda; Insecta; Orthoptera; Tettigoniidae. The record is from RNAcentral.
GACCUUAUAGUCAAUAAUGAUAUUAGACUGCAAUUCUGAAGGGGUAGGGUAACUACUAAGGUUU